Molecule: unclassified non-coding RNA, 200 nt
Filed under: Agaricales sp.
Lineage: Eukaryota; Fungi; Basidiomycota; Agaricomycetes; Agaricales
Description: partial internal transcribed spacer 2
Source: RNAcentral
UUAAGUUCAGCGGGUAGUCCUACCUGAUUUGAGGUCAAAUUGUCAAGGUAUUGUCCUCGCGGACGGUUAGAAGCGAGUCUGAUCCUCGUCCACGGCGUAGAUAAUUAUCACACCAAUAGACGGAAGUUCAGCAUGAACCUCGCUAAUGCAUUUCAGGGGAGCAGACCGCCAGUGAAGGCAGCCUGCACAAACCCCCACAU